RNAcentral lists this transfer RNA (91 nucleotides) under Actinoplanes siamensis. Its description in RNAcentral is "tRNA-Ala". The record is from RNAcentral. Lineage: Bacteria; Bacillati; Actinomycetota; Actinomycetes; Micromonosporales; Micromonosporaceae.
CGAAGGGGUGGAGGACGAGGUCACCUGGCGGCUGCUCGCGGCGGCCGGCUGCCACGCCGCGCAGGGCUGGUUCCACGCCCGCCCGAUGCCC